UACGUAGGGUGCAAGCGUUAAUCGGAAUUACUGGGCGUAAAGCGUGCGCAGGCGGUUAUGCAAGACAGAGGUGAAAUCCCCGGGCUCAACCUGGGAGCUGCCUUUGUGACUGCAUGGCUAGAGUACGGUAGAGGGGGAUGGAAUUCCGCGUGUAGCAGUGAAAUGCGUAGAUAUGCGGAGGAACACCGAUGGCGAAGGCAAUCCCCUGGACCUGUACUGACGCUCAUGCACGAGAGCGUGGGGAGCAAACAGGAUUAGAUAC
Molecule: ribosomal RNA, 262 nt
Filed under: uncultured Burkholderiales bacterium
Lineage: Bacteria; Pseudomonadati; Pseudomonadota; Betaproteobacteria; Burkholderiales
Description: partial 16S ribosomal RNA
Rfam family: Bacterial small subunit ribosomal RNA
Source: RNAcentral